UCUACGGGUGGCAGCAGUGGGGAAUAUUGGACAAUGGAGGAAACUCUGACCCAGCAACGCCGCGUGAAUGAUGAAGGUCUUCGGAUUGUAAAGUUCUUUUCUGAGGGAAGAAGAAAGUGACGGUACCUUAGGAAUAAGCCUCGGCUAACUACGUGACAGCAGCCGCGGUAAUACGUAGGAGGCAAGCGUUAUCCGGAAUGACUGGGCGUAAAGGGUGCAUAGGUGGUUCAGCAAGUUAGUAGCGUAAUUCCGGGGCUCAACUUCGGCAGUACUACUAAAACUGUUGGACUUGAGUGCAGAAGGGGCAACUGGAAUUUCUAGUGUAGCGGUGGAAUGCGUAGAUAUUAGGAAGAACACCGGUGGCGAAGGCGAGUUGCUGGACUGUAACUGACGCUGAGGCACGAAAGCGUGGGGAGCAAACAGGAUUAGAUACCCGAGUAGUC
RNAcentral lists this ribosomal RNA (443 nucleotides) under uncultured bacterium. RNAcentral's name for it is "partial 16S ribosomal RNA". It matches the Rfam family "Bacterial small subunit ribosomal RNA", at positions 338 to 795 of the family's 1533-position model. The record is from RNAcentral.